UCAAAAAUCUUAAUUUCUUUUCAACUGAAGAAAGAAAGACAUGAACAUCUUGGAUGACAUGGGGGUGAGUAAAUUAUCAGGAAAAUUUUAUUUGAAAGUGGACUAAUCCUUUAAGUAAGUAAUAUACCAAGAGGAAAAGAGGACCAAGACAGACAAAAUAACACUCAUGAUUUUGCCCAAGAAAUUUGUAUAGAGGUAAGUCAUAGUUAAGGGCAUUUUUCUUUAUGAUGUACGAUGUAAACAACAAUACCGAGGAAUAUGUUACCAUGGCUCAAGUGCGUGAAUUGUUGGAACAUCAAAAAGACUUCUACAGAACAUUGCUUGAACAACAAGAAAAAAGUUUCAAAACCUGCAUACAAAUCAUUGUUGAUUCUUCAAACAGGAGGAUUGAUGACCUGUCAAAGCAAGUUUAUGAUUUUAGGGUGAGUCUAGAAAUGACUCAAAAAGAACUUGAUGAUCUUAAAAUCAAAUGUAAAACUUGGUCUACAAAUUGUAAUGAAAUCAGGACAGAUCUGGACAUAAUUUGUAAAAGUUUGAUGACAAUUUCAGACAAGACAGAACAUCUGGAGGGCCAGUCAAGACGCCAUAAUAUUGUUGUGGAUGGCUUGAAAGAAUCUGUAAGAGAAAAGGUGUCUGAAUCUGAAGAAAAAGUGAGAAAACUUUUUAGUGAAAAUUUACAGCUGGAUCAUCGGAAAAUAGAGUUGGAUUGGGCUCAUAGAGUUGGGAAGCAAAUGGCAUCAUCAGAGAAGCCCCGACCUAUUGUUGUUAGAUUCUUGAGGCUGAAGCUAAGAACUUAAAGGGCUUGGGCAUCUUCAUUAAUGAGGACUUCCCUGAAACCAUCCGGCAAAGAAGAAGAGAAUUACUUCCAGCAAUGAAGGCAGCCCGUGAGAGAGGUGAUAUUGCAUUUCUGAGAUACGACAAACUUAUUGUUCAUCCACCUAUCCAAAAUCAACCAAAACAAAGACAACCAAUUGUUCAGUAGAUUAAUAUAGUCACUUAUUGCAUUUUUGAUUAGUUAAUCACAUAUCAGUUGUAUAGUACUUUUACAGUAUUGAUUCCAACAAAUUCGAUUUUGAAGCCGAGACCUUUAAGCCUUUUGAUUUGUCUAUAUCUGAUUCUUGUCAUUUUGAUGUUGACCCAGAUUUGAACUUUUUUCAUCGUUGGGUGCUUCAAAUUUUUGUACUUUUUAUACUGAAACUCAGUUUAAUGAUUUAUGUAGAUCUCUGCCUGUUAAUGUUUUUUCUACUUUUCUCUCUAGGAAUUAUGACAAUUUCAUUCACUAUUUUUACUAAAACAUCAGUUUUCUGUUAUCUGAAACAUGGCUUACAGAAAAUUCUAGAGAAAUUUUUAAAUUAUCCAAAUAUAACUCUGUUCAUCAUGUUAGAGAGAAUAAAUUGGGAGGAGGAGUAUCUGUUUAUUUAUGAAGAGUAUGAAUUUAAAAUUAGGGAUAAUCUCGCCUUAAAAUCAGAUGGAAAUGAAGUGGAAUGUUUAUUUGUUGAGCUUUCUACUGGUUUUGGAGGAAAGAACAUUAUUGUUGGGGUUAUUUACUGACCACCUGAUUCUAGUAUUCAAGAUUUUAAUGAAAGUUUGGCCAGUUAACUUGAUUUGAUAAAUAAUGAGCAUAUAUUUGUUGAUGAGUUAUAUGAGUUAUAUUUUAGGUGAUUUUAAUAUAAAUCUCUCAAAAAAUAAUUUUGAUACCCCUACUGCAGAUUUUCUCAAUAUUCUUUAUUCUAGUUAUUAAUUUCCUCUUAUUCAUAAACCUACAAGAGUUAAGGAAAACUCAGCAACAUUGAUUGAUAACAUUUUAACAAAUUCUCUAAGUGAAGGAAUUAAAUCUGGUGUUCUAUAUUCAGACUUGUCUGAUCAUUUUCCCAUAUUUCAUUAUUCUGAAAUUAGGGUUAAUAUUGUUAAACUUUCAAAAGAAAUACAGCAAAAGAGAAUUAUGAGUAAGUAAAAUAUUUCUAAAUUUAAAGAUUUGAUUGCUAGCAUUUCUUGGGAUGAUCUGUAUGAGGAAUAUGAUGCUGAUAGAGCAUAUCAACAUAUAUUUCAUCAUUCACAUAUAUUUUUCAUUCAGCAUAUAUUUCAUUCUUCUGUGGAAUUAAAGUGUUUUGGCUUUGGGGCAACAAAGCCUCAAUUGCUGGAAACCCCUAUGAAGUGAUUUUUUUUUUUUUAUUAACCAAAACCAUUGUGAUCUUUUCUAAAUAAAAGUUUGUGAAUGUUGAAAUUGUUUUUAACGGGAGCAAUCAAACUAGGAUGACAAGGACUCAACUGAGCAGUGUUUUUAUUCCUUCAGCGGGGGAGUCUACAGAUGAUGAUGACCCUGAUUCAGAAGAGUCAGAGAUUGAAAAGACCAUUCGAAAGAUUAUAAAAGCUACAAUGUUUCAAUCAUUCAAUGAGGUUGAGAAGGCAAAGCAAAAAAAGUCCAAGAAAAAUGACAAUCAAAACAAGUCAGCAAAAUCCUGAAGGCAAACGUAUUUGGAACAAAAACAGUACUGUGUCUUGAGUUCUCCCAAAGGUUCUAAAGAAGAAUUCUUCUUGAACAGCUUCGGAACCAAGAUUGUCUGGCCUUCUUCAUGAAAAAAGACCUAUGGAAACACUCAAAGACAUGUAAGGGGUGUAGGGGGCUGUGAG
This is a long non-coding RNA of Megalobrama amblycephala (Wuchang bream), 2631 nucleotides long. RefSeq lists it as uncharacterized. NCBI's taxonomy places the organism in Eukaryota, Metazoa, Chordata, Actinopteri, Cypriniformes, Xenocyprididae. The record is from RefSeq and is a predicted model, not a curated record. The transcript has 2 exons.